AGUGAACGCUGGCGGUAGGCCUAACACAUGCAAGUCGAACGGCAGCACAGUAAGAGCUUGCUCUUACGGGUGGCGAGUGGCGGACGGGUGAGGAAUACAUCGGAAUCUACUUUUUCGUGGGGGAUAACGUAGGGAAACUUACGCUAAUACCGCAUACGACCUACGGGUGAAAGCAGGGGAUCUUCGGACCUUGCGCGAUUGAAUGAGCCGAUGUCGGAUUAGCUAGUUGGCGGGGUAAAGGCCCACCAAGGCGACGAUCCGUAGCUGGUCUGGGAGGAUGAUCAGCCACACUGGAACGGAGACACGGUCCAGACUCCUACGGGAGGCAGCAGUGGGGAAUAUUGGACAAUGGGCGCAAGCCUGAUCCAGCCAUACCGCGUGGGUGAAGAAGGCCUUCGGGUUGUAAAGCCCUUUUGUUGGGAAAGAAAAGCAGCAGGUUAAUACCCCGCUGUUCUGACGGUACCCAAAGAAUAAGCACCGGCUAACUUCGUG
RNAcentral lists this ribosomal RNA (492 nucleotides) under uncultured bacterium. RNAcentral's name for it is "partial 16S ribosomal RNA". It matches the Rfam family "Bacterial small subunit ribosomal RNA", at positions 29 to 507 of the family's 1533-position model. The record is from RNAcentral.